RNAcentral lists this unclassified non-coding RNA (332 nucleotides) under soil metagenome. Its description in RNAcentral is "partial contains 5.8S ribosomal RNA, internal transcribed spacer 2, and large subunit ribosomal RNA". The stretch from base 1 to 120 matches the Rfam family "5.8S ribosomal RNA", at positions 35 to 154 of the family's 154-position model. The record is from RNAcentral.
GAUGAAGAACGUAGCGAAAUGCGAUAAGUAGUGUGAAUUGCAGAAUUCAGUGAAUCAUCGAAUCUUUGAACGCACAUUGCGCCCUUUGGUAUUCCUUAGGGCAUGCCUGUUUGAGCGUCAUUUAAACCUUCAAGCUAAGCUUGGUGUUGGGUGACUGUCCGCCUCACGGCGGACUCGCCUCAAAAUUAUUGGCGGCCGGUACAUUGGCUUCGAGCGCAGCAGAAACGCGAACUCGGGCCCGUCGUAUUGGCUCCCAGAAGCUAUCUUCACAAUUUUGACCUCGGAUCAGGUAGGGAUACCCGCUGAACUUAAGCAUAUCAAUAAGCGGAGGA